Molecule: long non-coding RNA, 901 nt
Organism: Photinus pyralis (common eastern firefly)
Lineage: Eukaryota; Metazoa; Arthropoda; Insecta; Coleoptera; Lampyridae
Exons: 3
Source: RefSeq, a predicted model, not a curated record
UUGAUGAGUUUCUCGUAUCUGGAUAUUCAGAACACUCCAGAAAUCUACCACGUGAAUCUGAUACGUGUGAUAAAUCCUUUGGCACUUACAAACCUGAAGAAUAGAAAGAAUCAUUAUUGCCUUUCUCAUACCAAACCAUUCUGUUACUGUGAUUAAGGCGUUUUCUGCAUCCCGUGCAAAAUUGAGACGGUCUUCUUACACACAUUUUUCUAUUUUCAGGAAAUUCGGCAUUAGUGAAAUGGACCGUUGGAGACACAAACUGGCAUUAGUAGCCGGGGCAAGUGGUGGCAUUUGUACCGCUGUAGUAAAAGACCUGUUGGACCAAGGCAUCUUGUUGUAGGAAUGGCACGUCGAAAAGAAGAGAUAGAACAGCUGUCCUCAUCCAAAAACUUGUACGCUUUAAAAUUUGACGUGACCGUAGACCAUGAGGUUAUAGAUGCGUUAAAGUGGGUCCAAGAGAGUGUGGUGUGGGACCCAUUCAUAUAUUGGUCAAUAGUGUUGGUACGUUUUGGUUUGGAAGAAUAUUGGACAGUUCGCCGAGUACGUCAAUGGCCAUAUUAUACAUGUGAAGAGAAUAAGUGGGCAUGGUGCAUUCCUUUCAUGCGUCGUUGGGAGCAUCCCGAGCGCCAAAAGUGCAGUGACAUCGGCAAUGUAAUGCUUAAGAAGAGAGUUAAUCGACAUUGGAAGUAAAAUAGAGAUAUCAAGUGUAAGUCCAAGCUUUGUCAAAACGAAGAUUUACUACCAACAUGCUGACGAACAACCUGAAUUCAGAGAUCUCGCCAAUGCAUGCGAUCAAGAAAAACAUUCGCUUCAACAUGUGGAUGUAGCUGAAUGCACUUUCGACUCCUUCUCACGUGCAGGUGGAAGAAACUACGUUCGAACCCCAAAAAUGUGUAUUUGC